RNAcentral lists this ribosomal RNA (381 nucleotides) under uncultured bacterium. RNAcentral's name for it is "bacterial SSU rRNA". It matches the Rfam family "Bacterial small subunit ribosomal RNA", at positions 28 to 402 of the family's 1533-position model. The record is from RNAcentral.
GACGAACGCUGGCGGCGUGCCUAACACAUGCAAGUUGAGCGACGAACCGGGGCUUGCCCCGGGGCAAAGCAGCGAACGGGUGAGUAACACGUGGGCAACCUGCCCCGAAGACCGGGACAACCCGAGGAAACUCGGGCUAAUACCGGAUGUGCCCUGCGAGCAUCAGCUCGUUGAGCAAAGGAAGCUUCGGCCUCCGCUUCGGGAGGGGCCCGCGGCCCAUUAGCUUGUUGGUGAGGUAACGGCUCACCAAGGCUCCGAUGGGUAGCUGGUCUGAGAGGACGAUCAGCCACACUGGGACUGAGACACGGCCCAGACUCCUACGGGAGGCAGCAGUGGGGAAUCUUGCGCAAUGCGCGAAAGCGUGACGCAGCAACGCCGCGU